This 309-nucleotide long non-coding RNA is filed under the name Phoenix dactylifera (date palm). RNAcentral's name for it is "long non-coding RNA (PDAC_LNC014148)". Lineage: Eukaryota; Viridiplantae; Streptophyta; Magnoliopsida; Arecales; Arecaceae. The record is from RNAcentral.
UGGUGAGCCCGCAAAACCAACGUAGGUUAUUGGUGAUCCCGGAAAACCAAACUGUAAAGGUUUUGGAUUGUGAGCCCGAAAAACAAUCCUACUGUAAUCCGAGGGAUUAUAGUAAAAUUUUCAAGGGGACGCUUGGAAAGUGGACGUAGGUGCCUUGGGGUACACCGAACCACUAUACAUCGUGGUGUUUGUGUUGUGGCUUCACUUGUGAUUAUUCUUGCAUUAUCUUUCAUCUUUGCUAUAGUUUAAUUCAUUGAAGUAAUUUAAGAAAGCAUCCACCGCACUCAACUAAGGAAGUUUUUUAAAGCA